UUUCCGUAGGUGAACCUGCGGAAGGAUCAUUACCGAAUUGUCAAACGGGUUGUUGCUGGUCUUCAAACGGGGACAUGUGCACGCUCUGUUUACACAUCCACUCACACCUGUGCACCCUCCGUAGUUCUAUGGUCUGGGGGACCCCGUCUUCCUGCCGUGGUUCUACGUCUUUACACACACUCUGUAAUAAAGUCUUAUGGAAUGUAUGCCGCGUCUAACGCAAUACAAUACAACUUUCAGCAACGGAUCUCUUGGCUCUU
RNAcentral lists this unclassified non-coding RNA (260 nucleotides) under plant metagenome. RNAcentral's name for it is "partial contains small subunit ribosomal RNA, internal transcribed spacer 1, and 5.8S ribosomal RNA". The record is from RNAcentral.